GAUGAACGCUAGCGGCAGGCUUAACACAUGCAAGUCGAGGGGUAUAGUUCUUCGGAACUAGAGACCGGCGCACGGGUGCGUAACGCGUAUGCAAUCUACCUUUUGCAGAGGGAUAGCCCAGAGAAAUUUGGAUUAAUACCUCAUAGUAUAGCAGUUUCGCAUGAAACCACUAUUAAAGUCACAACGGCAAAAGAUGAGCAUGCGUCCCAUUAGCUAGUUGGUAAGGUAACGGCUUACCAAGGCUACGAUGGGUAGGGGUCCUGAGAGGGAGAUCCCCCANACUGGUACUGAGACACGGACCAGACUCCUACGGGAGGCAGCAGUGAGGAAUAUUGGACAAUGGGCGCAAGCCUGAUCCAGCCAUGCCGCGUGCAGGAUGACGGUCCUAUGGAUUGUAAACUGCUUUUGUACAGGAAGAAACACUUCCUCGUGAGGGAGCUUGACGGUACUGUAAGAAUAAGGAUCGGCUAAACUCCGUGCCAGCAGCCG
Molecule: ribosomal RNA, 489 nt
Filed under: uncultured bacterium
Lineage: Bacteria
Description: bacterial SSU rRNA
Rfam family: Bacterial small subunit ribosomal RNA
Source: RNAcentral